ACGAACGCUGGCGGCGUGCCUAAUACAUGCAAGUCGAGCGGAAUGAUGAAGAAGCUUGCUUCUUCUGAUUUUAGCGGCGGACGGGUGAGUAACACGUGGGCAACCUACCUUGUAGAUUGGGAUAACUCCGGGAAACCGGGGCUAAUACCGAAUAAUCCAUUUUGCUUCAUGGCGAGAUGUUGAAAGACGGUUUCGGCUGUCACUACAAGAUGAGCCCGCGGCGCAUUAGCUAGUUGGUAGGGUAAUGGCCUACCAAGGCGACGAUGCGUAGCCGACCUGAGAGGGUGAUCGGCCACACUGGGACUGAGACACGGCCCAGACUCCUACGGGAGGCAGCAGUAGGGAAUCUUCCACAAUGGACGAAAGUCUGAUGGAGCAACGCCGCGUGAGUGAAGAAGGUUUUCGGAUCGUAAAACUCUGUUGUAAGGGAAGAACACGUACGAGAGUAACUGCUCGUACCUUGACGGUACCUUAUUAGAAAGCCACGGCUAACUACGUG
RNAcentral lists this ribosomal RNA (499 nucleotides) under uncultured bacterium. Its description in RNAcentral is "bacterial SSU rRNA". It matches the Rfam family "Bacterial small subunit ribosomal RNA", at positions 29 to 507 of the family's 1533-position model. The record is from RNAcentral.